Thalassophryne amazonica is the source of this 112-nucleotide long non-coding RNA. RefSeq lists it as uncharacterized. The record is from RefSeq and is a predicted model, not a curated record. The transcript is spliced from 3 exons. Lineage: Eukaryota; Metazoa; Chordata; Actinopteri; Batrachoidiformes; Batrachoididae.
GGCACAACUGACUGGCUGUCAAUGACCGUCUUUGGCCAAAGCAUACUCACCACCUAGCGGAUGUGCUGGUUCUUGCACCAGCUGUACCGCCGUCAAUGAAAUUCACCAAAAU